This 443-nucleotide ribosomal RNA is filed under the name uncultured bacterium. Its description in RNAcentral is "partial 16S ribosomal RNA". It matches the Rfam family "Bacterial small subunit ribosomal RNA", at positions 338 to 795 of the family's 1533-position model. The record is from RNAcentral.
CCUACGGGAGGCAGCAGUGGGGGAUAUUGGACAAUGGGGGGAACCCUGAUCCAGCGACGCCGCGUGAGUGAAGAAGUAUUUCGGUAUGUAAAGCUCUGUCAGCAGGGAAGAAAGAAAUGACGGUACCUGACCAAGACGCCCCGGCUAACUACGUGCCAGCAGCCGCUGUAAUACGGAGGGGGCAAGCGUUAUCCGGAAUUACUGGGUGUAAAGGGAGCGUAGACGGUUAAGUAAGUCUGGAGUGAAAGGCCGGGGCCCAACCCCGGGACUGCUCUGGAAACUAUUGAACUUGAGUGCAGGAGAGGUAAGCGGAAUGCCUAGUGUAGCGGUGAAAUGCGUAGAUAUUAGGAGGAACACCAGUGGCGAAGGCGGCUUACUGGACUGUAACUGACGUUGAGGCUCGAAAGCGUGGGGAGCAAACAGGAUUAGAUACCCUAGUAGUC